UACGGAGGGGCUAGCGUUGUUCGGAAUUACUGGGCGUAAAGCGCACGUAGGCGGCUUUGUAAGUUAGAGGUGAAAGCCCGGGGGCUCAACUCCGGAAUUGCCUUUAGACUGCAUCGCUAGAAUUGUGGAGAGGUAAGUGGAAUUCCGAGUGUAGAGGUGAAAUUCGUAGAUAUUCGGAAGAACACCAGUGGCGAAGGCGACUUACUGGACACAUAUUGACGCUGAGGUGCGAAAGCGUGGGGAGCAACAGGG
This 252-nucleotide ribosomal RNA is filed under the name uncultured bacterium. RNAcentral's name for it is "partial 16S ribosomal RNA". It matches the Rfam family "Bacterial small subunit ribosomal RNA", at positions 524 to 776 of the family's 1533-position model. The record is from RNAcentral.